CUGACCAGGACGCAAGGGUCGACGUUCGUGCAACGAGCCCAUUCCACCUGCAUUAAGCAGGUGGAUGCCCCAAAAGUCAG
Molecule: non-coding RNA, 80 nt
Submitted as: unclassified sequences
Source: Rfam